UUCACUAUUCCCUUUUUUAACUUGGAUAAAUAUCGCUUACUGGAGUUUUAGAAAAAUAGAUUGUGAGUGCGUUAGUGAUAGGAAAAUAAGAAGCAGUAAAAACGGUUGUUGAGAUACUUGUACAGUGAGGAGGGAAUUUUCAGAAGAGCUAUAGCUGAGUAAAUAUGAACACGACCGAUGUUUCCACUGAAUAAAUUUCUAUUAGAUUAUUCCCUAAUUAUAAAGAUUAUUUAAAAGACAGAAGUUACAGAAUAAUAUACACGAGAAGAUGUAUCUAUUUCUAAAGUCCCUGAAACCAUACUUAAAUCCUUGGAGUUAUUACUCACCUCUAACACAGUUCUCAUCAACUGCAGUGUAAGCCUUAGAGCUGACACUUCAGAUAAGCACAUGAUAUAGUUCAGCCCUAAACCCCUUAACAGAAAAUACAUCAGGACUUACUGUAAAAUUUCAUGGAGGAUUAGAGAAAAUAUUAAGUCAAUAGUUCUUUAGUUAUAUGGAGCUUUUAAGGUAAUCAAUACUUUCCAGCCAUAUUAGCGCCUACGAUGAUGAAAGACAACAUUAAUAUCCAACUCUUCUUUUUUUGGUGUAUUUAUGUAUAUCCUUUCUUUAGUCAGCCCUGCUAGAAUCAAUAGUGAUACAAAGAAUAUGGUUCUUUUAAAAAUGUCAUCAAUAUUGAUUUGCUUAUUACUGCCAGUUUCAAGUGGAACUUGAUUUCAGGACCAAAUUUACUUCUUCUUAUGAAAGAAUUACCAAUCACCCUAAAACUUUGGAGUACCAACCUGACUUUGCUUAUUGUGAUUCUCAUGUUGAGCAGUGUGCUAAUGCAGCAAAAAUUAUUUUAGGUUUAGUAAAUCCUAAAAAUAGAAUGAAUAGGAUUCAUUCUAAGAAUUCUUUAGAAUUACAUGACAUUUUAUGCCCUCAAAGCCUUGUGCAGAUGUUAAUUAAAUUUUAUUGAUAUAAUUCAGUCCUGAACUUAUAUGCAUGCAGUUAUUAAUGAUUUAAUUAUUUUGUCAAUGGAGUAGAUUCUUUGCUUUUGAUUCUAUUUCAAAAAAAUGAGACAAUCAUCCUAUGUACAGCCUUUAGGCUCAAUCCCUUUCAUUCAGGCGACUCAGGAAUACGGUUGGUCAAACGUCAACGUUUCUGAUACUUUGCAACAUCCGUGUUCUUCAACGUACUUUCUUUUGUCUCCCACUAAUCAUCUGCUGGCCUUCUGUAUUUCUCAGGUAGGAAUCUGCUUAAAAAUUCCGGGGGUAUCUCAGUGUUUCUCUCUGCACAUCUAGGACCUUGUUUGCGAGCUGCUCAUUUCCCCGGUUGCGCAGUUCCCCGAACCGCUGAUUUAUUUGACUGAUUGCAGCUUACAGUUCCAACAAGUCCAACCACCACAACAGAAAUAUUACAAAGUGCCUGUAUCUCUUCACCUGUGAUUGCCUCCACUCCAGAAACUAGUCCUGAGUUUGAAGUAUGCUGAAUCUCCAGGACUGCUGCACCCCUUUGCCCCCACCUUUCCCGUGCAGUGGAAUAAGUUAUUUUAGAUGUGUUCCAGGGAUUGCUGGAUAAAGCGGGAGAGGAAACCAGCAGCUGGAGGGAUUUUAAACGUGGGGGGAGCAGGGGAAUUCUAACACCUCUCCGAGGCUGUAACUCCCUCCCGAAGGGACUCGGCUGUACCAGGGGGACGUGAUCACAGGUUCUCACGCUGGGAAGUGCCGCAAGAGCAAGACCGGGGUUGUCACCAACCUGCACGGCUGAAACCGGUGUGACAUGAAGGUGGCAGCUCUCGUCUGUAGACUGGUGUGAGCUCGAUCUAGCUGGCACCUUCAAUACGAGUUGUGAGGCCAGAUUCUCUGUGAUUUUCCACCUCUUUCAUGUCUCCCAUGUUCUUCGAAGUGGCUGAAAAGCAGCUAGAGGUUUUGCUGCGAUUUCUUUGAGAGUGUGAAUGUUCUGAAGCAUCACACCAGGAGAUGGUAAAGAACAUGUGAAGGCAGGUAGAAGGCACAGCUUGUCUUGCUGUGCCUAAUACUCCAUGACCUAUGGGACCGAGGCUGCUCUAACCUGUGCGAGGCUCAAGGACAACAGAAAUCCUGCAAAAGCACGAGCAAAAUGACAACAGCAAAAGCAUAAGAGCAUGUCUAGAGUGUCUGUUCCUCUGCUCCAGAGAGUUUGCUCAGCAGAAUUUGGCAUUUAUGUCCAUUAUAUGUAGUUUAUGUCCAUUAUAUUGUAGCGCCUUUUUUUUUUUUUUUUUCCACUGUCUUUGCAGUGCAACUAUCCUUGGAUGGGAAUGAUGCAAUACUCAGUACCGCUACUGAAAAAAAGCUAGGGAAUGAUGUUAACAAUAUAACUUUCAGCCUAAGCAACGGAGAAAGCCUAAGUAAGCAGGCUACAAAGAAAGUGUACUCAGUCUUUACUACAUUUCAGUAUUUCAUGAUGAAAAAACCUCAGAAGGGUCUUGGUUUCAAAGCCUUUGCUGUGUCUCUCACUCUGUCAAUGUUAGCUCUGACUCUGACACAUUUUCACUGCCAUCAUCUGCUGAGGUUAUGCGCCUUCUUCCCCAAGACAAACUGCAGCCGUAUGAAGCCAGCAAAAGCCUCAAACAGAAUCAAGAAUAUUUUCCCCAGGAUUAAGGACAAUCAUGGUAAGUGUCGCCAUAUUAACUCCUCAGAACCUUCCUGAGUGCUGAGUGAUUUUCUUACAUGGAUAGUAGAAGUAGCAUGCUUUUUUCACCAGUGCGAGAAAGAUAGUACAUUUAACUUAUACUUAGUACUCUGUAUUUUAAACUUAAGUCAGAUUUAUUAACUAGUAACCUCUAUCCAAAUGUAUAUAAACCCAAUUGCAUUAUUUUACGUAAUAUAUGGAAACAAUUUCUUUGUCUCCAUUGGUUGCUAUAUACAUGUAUAAAACUGACUCUGCUUGCACAGUGAGUAAGGCUUGCUGAAGUGAGACCUACAUAAACUCCUGUUCAGACAGGUCUAGUUAGAUCUUCUUCAGCAAUACUGUCCAGAAAUAUAUAUACACAGACCUUUUUGUUAAGAUGGGUGCUGACAGAUCUGAUAAGAACAAUGGAGAAGGAAAAAUAAAUGUUACAGCUAGUAGUAAGACACAAGAGUUCCUCUUGUUUAUGCUGGCUGAAGAUCUUGCCACCUAAUUAACACAAAGCCAACCAAAAACUUUGCUAUGGAACAAAUUAAAGGCCAGAUCACACCCUUAUCUCGGAUAGCUCUUACUGCAGCUUACAGCAGCUGUGGAGAUAUCAGGUCCGCGCUAAGCUCCAUCUGAAAGCUCUGGGCUCACCUCGGGGUGCCCCAGGAGCGGCGCGAACCACGGUGGUUUCCAGAGCAGGUUAAGGAAGCCCCAUCAGAAUGCAUUUCUGUCAGGCUCUCAGAUCAGCAUGGUGUAAACUGGAGCUCUGCUCGGUUUUUCCCCAGUUUUCGCUCUCGUCCCCACUGGUGCUUCUGACAGUCUCUUUGGAGUGCAGUUCCCCACAGCCACAGAGGGGAGUGUUUGGAGCAGCUCCGGAUCUGGCUUUAGGGCCCGUCUUUAAUUUCCAUCGGCAACUGUAAGGCUGCCCAUCGACAGCACUGAUUUACAGCUCUGUUUGUAAGAGCAGCAGUCACACAGGAACAGGUCUUGGCCCCUUUUCUCAGAAGGGUACACUCAUCUCUAAGCUGUCUGGAAGCUCUGGAUUUAUGUAGAGGCAAUAGUCCUAAAGGCUACCUAAAGGAUGUGGGUCUCUGCCUUGGUAUACUCUUCCAGCUAAUGUUGCCUAAAAUGGAGUUUUCCUCACUUUAUAUUCUUUUUAUCGAGCGGAAUUUCUGUUUAUAGUCACAUUUGCUUUCUGUCCCAUGCUGUCUGUCACUUGUGUUGAAUAUGGGCUUUGCACACAUGCCAAAUAGUUUGUUACUUGGCGAGAGUUCACUGGCAGGAGAAUUUGCUUCUACGCAUAGUAAUAGGCAUGUUUGGCUAAUAGGCUCUUUGUCUAAAAGCCUUUUGCAUAUUCAGAGCUGCUCAUUUGUCACGCUAGCCUGACCUAGGCAGCAAAUAUUAAAAAAGAGUCAUAAAUAUGCUCUGUUCUUACUAGAAUGCCAGCUGAAGCAAGCAUUAGCUGUUUCAUGAUAAACUAGUCAUCUGCUGCUCUUUAACUUCACAAGUGUUGUCCAGCCACACUUAUUUCUAGAAUAGUUCUGUCCAUCACUGAUUUUUCUUUUGCAUAUGCAAUUGCCUUACUCAGUUGUCUGUGUUUUCUUAAAGUGCAUUUAAUAUUGAAAUGGCCAACUCUGAUGAUGUAGUAGUUUUGGGAUGGCAAAUUUGAUAACCCGGUAUAUGCAGAGCUGACCGCUUAGGAUCUGUUCCGGUUUUACAAUGAAAAGAAGGAAUUUUUCCCUAUUUGCUGGGGGUGUGUACCAGGGCCUUCGACUGGAAGUCCUGCACCCAGCUUCUGCGCUCACUUGAAUGCCGUGCUCCGUGCAUCAGCGGGCAGGUACCACCCGCAUUACCUGGCACGUCUUCCUAAUGCGUUCAACUAAGUUGUGACAAAGGGAGUAGUUAGUUCCACGGGUAACUUGAAAAGCCAGGAAUUUCCUUGGGCAUGUGGAGAUGGCAAGUGUCUUCAGUAUUGGGACUGCCUGGUUGUCGGUAUGAAAAUGGCUUCGUAUAUUUUUUAUAACUGGCUUUUUUUGUAUCUCGGGUAUAGAUUUUCUUUUUGUCCUGUAACUGCUUUCUUACUGCAUUUAAUAAAUCGUCUAAAGGCUGAGA
Molecule: long non-coding RNA, 4746 nt
Organism: Tyto alba (common barn owl)
Lineage: Eukaryota; Metazoa; Chordata; Aves; Strigiformes; Tytonidae
Exons: 3
Source: RefSeq, a predicted model, not a curated record